Long non-coding RNA from Hemibagrus wyckioides, 870 nucleotides. RefSeq lists it as uncharacterized. Lineage: Eukaryota; Metazoa; Chordata; Actinopteri; Siluriformes; Bagridae. The record is from RefSeq and is a predicted model, not a curated record. The transcript has 3 exons.
AAAUGAUAAAUAUGUAAUAAUAAUAUCAAAACAUCUCAUUUAGCUAUAAUGUAUUAUGAACUGGUUUGGAGUUGCACACAAAAGCUCUGUUCUAGCUGUGUGUGUGUGUGUGUGUGUGUGUGUGUGUGUCUGCAGCAGGCGUGUAUAAUCAGGAGUGUGGAAAGGCUGAGCUGCUGGGGGGAGAAUGUGAAAUGUUUGUGGGUGUGGCCAUGUGGAAAGCGAACAACAGCGUGUGAAGUCAAGGCUUGAUAUUUGGAGCAACGUCUCACCCUUGUGGAGAGAAGCAGGAACAUGUGGUGAUGAGGCAGCGAGGGCAGAACACAGGCCCUGUGCAACUUCCUACCCUUCAUGUCACGGGGAGCCUGUGUCUAUUUCAGGCAUCAUCGGGCAUCAAGGCAGGAUACACCCUGGACGGAGUGCCAACCCAUCGCACGGCACACACACUCAUUCACUACGGACAAUUUAGAGACUCCAAUCAGCCUAGAAGCAUAUCGUUGGACUGUUGGAGGAAACCCACCAAGCACAGGGAGGACAUGCAAUGGUGGCAAGGAAAAACUUCCUGAGGCGAUAUGAAAAAGCAACCUUUAGGGGAAGCAGACUCAAAAGGUAGUGUAAUUAUAAAUCAGAACUGUGUAGUAUAUAAGUCAUGUAAAAUUGUGUAACCAAGAGCUUUGGACCUUAUAAGCUUUCACAUGGCCACUAUCUCUAAUUUCCAUGUGCAAACUGCUAUCUUCUGGAUUCCUAUUCCAUUCCAUUAUAAAUGUAUUGAUUAAUGAGUUAAGUUAAUGGGACAUGCAUUAUUAACUAGUGAACAGAACAAAAGAUAAUCAGACACAGACUGAUUGUGGAAUGUGGUUUCGCUGACCUGAG